This is a small nuclear RNA of Mastomys coucha (southern multimammate mouse), 107 nucleotides long. The record is from RefSeq and is a predicted model, not a curated record. NCBI's taxonomy places the organism in Eukaryota, Metazoa, Chordata, Mammalia, Rodentia, Muridae.
GUGCCUGCUUCAGUCGCACAUACACUGAAAUGACAAUAACAUAGAGGCCAUCAGCCUGGCCCCUGCACAAGGGUGGCAUGCAAAUCUGCAAAGGAUUCCAUAGUUUA